This 253-nucleotide ribosomal RNA is filed under the name uncultured bacterium. RNAcentral describes it as "partial 16S ribosomal RNA". It matches the Rfam family "Bacterial small subunit ribosomal RNA", at positions 524 to 776 of the family's 1533-position model. The record is from RNAcentral.
UACGGAGGGUGCAAGCGUUAUCCGGAUUUACUGGGCGUAAAGCGUGCGUAGGUGGUUUGUUAAGUCUGUUGUGAAAGCCCCGGGCUCAACCUGGGAAUGGCAAUGGAUACUGGCAAGCUAGAGUGCGGUAGAGGGUAGUGGAAUUCCCGGUGUAGCGGUGAAAUGCGUAGAGAUCGGGAGGAACACCAGUGGCGAAGGCGGCUACCUGGACCAGCACUGACGCUCAGGCACGAAAGCGUGGGGAGCAAACAGG